AUUCAAUAUAAUUCAGGAGAUAAUGAAAAGAGACAUGUAACACAAACCGGUGCUAAAGGGUUUGCCUCGGCCCGUGGCUCUGGCCGGUGCUAAAGGGACCCCUUUAGCACCGGUUCUUGUUAAAAACCGGUGCUAAAGGGUCCCUGCCCCGACAGCACAUGUCAGUAGCCGUUGGGCAGGACCCUUUAGCACCGGUUUGUCACACGAACCGGUGCUAAAGGGGUCUUUAACCCCGGGCCGCAAAAAGGCCGAGGUUUUUGGCCAUUUUGGGCAUCGACCAAUGCCUCAUUCUGUAGCAGUGUACUCUACAUCGAGAAGCAGGUUUGCAUCUAAUGACAAUGGAGCAGUGCUACUGUGGUCGUUGGGCUUCCCCUAUAUCUAUGCAAUGUCUUUAGGAACCAAAUAGAGAGCAGGCAAAAUAGUUUCAUAUACGGUCACUGUUUGUGGUGGGAGAGAGAGGAUGUCGUUGUUACUCUUGUUUAGAAAUUAGAUAUAGCUUUCAUGAUUUUCCCCCCUCCCAAACAUUUUUGCUUUUGGUAUGGAUGGCAUCUGGAUUAUAUGGGAUACAACUCAUCAUCCAACUAGUGCAAAGAUGGGAGACGCACCUUUUGUCUCCACAGUAGAUGGGUCGCCCUGGAUGGCUUGUCAUAGACAUAAAGGUUGUUGUGGGGCGUGUGAUGCAUCGGAUAAUGGAUCUGGUUCCAUCCUCACUAGGUGACAGUGAAUUAGCUGUACACUUAGCGGUCACUGAUGUAAUUAAUGUCAGAUAUCCAUGAGUUGGUUGAUCAAAAAGGAAAAAAACAAAAAAAAAAAUUGCUUCAGACCAGGAGUUUAGCCUAAUAAUGUUAUUAUAAGGCAUCAGUGCUGAACUGAGAAUAGUUCAGCUGACUGGAGUUCCUUGUGCCAAACAUAUCCACCCGUAUUUAAGCUAUUAACAUUUUUACGAAGUGCAUGAUUACUUAAUUAACAUUUUCCUACACUAUGUAUUGCCAGCUUUUAUAUUAAUUUAAUUAGUAGUAACUCGUGCAGUAUAGCAGCGUACACUCAAAAAGAUUUUUGAAUAAACCAGAGUUGAUUACGUUUUCAAAAACAGAAAACGUAUUUUGAAUAAAACAAGAUUUGAUUACGUUUUCAAAAACAAAAAGCGUAUUUCCUAACACCGCCAAGGACUGCGGGUUCAUUUGGCAAAACCCGAGGGUCUCUUUAACAAAUCUCUAAAUACGAUUCCUGCACCAAAAGCGGGCUAACGGAUAGGGCCACGUCGCCCGCAAACUAUCUAGCCGUCAGAUCCAACUAAGGCGUCAUAUGGACCGUCUGAUCUGGGUCGUAUUGGGUCUCUCACCCGUUAAGCCGUCAACCCGGGCGGUCACGAAUCCUCGCGAACCCGCUCGCGGGUGACUCCUGGGACUGUCCGCGGUGCAUUUCUCUCAUCCAGACCAGCCCUCCCAAUGCGAAAUGUCGUUCGCCGCUUCCGCAUCUCCCUCCUCCUCCCAGCGCGCAGCCGGACUCGGGCUGCCGGCCAUGCGCACGGCCCGUGCCUGGCGCGCGUCCGUGUGCCCCUCGCACCUACGAGAUUUCACCCCUCCCCACGGGAGCAGAGCAUGCGCUCGGCACUGCCGAUUCAGGGGCC
Molecule: long non-coding RNA, 1630 nt
Filed under: Sorghum bicolor (sorghum)
Lineage: Eukaryota; Viridiplantae; Streptophyta; Magnoliopsida; Poales; Poaceae
Description: long non-coding RNA (SBIC_LNC014919)
Source: RNAcentral